RNAcentral lists this unclassified non-coding RNA (613 nucleotides) under Hevea brasiliensis (rubber tree). Lineage: Eukaryota; Viridiplantae; Streptophyta; Magnoliopsida; Malpighiales; Euphorbiaceae. The record is from RNAcentral.
GCAACAAAUGGACAAAUUGAACUCCAGGCCUGUGACACUUGAUGGUUAUUUUGGCCCGCAACAAAGUGUUCAAGGAAUGGUACAGUUAAACUUGAUGGCACCAACUCGUGAUAACUACUAUGCAAAUCAACAGACUAUUCAGGGCCUUGGACAGUUGAACUCUAUAGCUCCUACACAUGAUGGCUAUUAUGGUGCUCAGCCGACAAUGCAUGGGCUGGGCCAAAUGGACUUUUUCCGCUCUCCAAGUUUCUCAUAUGGCAUUCGGGAUGAACCCACUGUAAGAUCUUCUCAAUUGCACGACGAAGCAUCUAGACAUCCUUGAGGAUCACCUUUGUCAUUAAAUAGGAAAGAGGGGUUGCACAUUUCAACUUCCAUUACAGGCUGUUUAUGGAAGUACAACCAACAGGAAGAAUGUUGUAGUAUUUGUUUGUAAAAUAAAAGGGGAUCUUCAAUGUUGGCAGUGCUUUUAUUAUUUGUACCUUCGUUUUUUGUUAAACAAACUCUUUAGGUUAAUCUCACCCUGUAAAGGCUGUUGUGGGAUGUAUUGGUUACAGCAAGUAAAGAUGAUUGGUGUGAAGAUAUAUGUACACUUUUCUUCAAGUGAAAGCGAAUG